RNAcentral lists this small RNA (359 nucleotides) under Histoplasma capsulatum var. duboisii H88. RNAcentral's name for it is "Histoplasma capsulatum H88 hypothetical RNA". Lineage: Eukaryota; Fungi; Ascomycota; Eurotiomycetes; Onygenales; Ajellomycetaceae. The record is from RNAcentral.
UAAGAAUGAAAAUGAAAAUAAAAGUAAAAAUAAAAGUAAAAAUAAGAAUAAGAGUGAGAAUAAGAGAGAAUGAUAAUAAAAGUAAGAAUAAGAGUAAAAAUAAGAAUAAAAAUAAAAGUAAGUGAGAAUGAGAAUGAAAAUAAAAAAAAAUGAGAAUGAAAAUAAAAAUAAAAGUAAGAAUAAGAGUAAAAAUAAGAAUAAGAGUGAGAAUGAGAGAGAAUGAUAAUGAGAGUAAUAAUAAGAAUAAAAAUAAAAAUGAAAAUAAGAGUAAGAGAGAAUAAGAAUGAAAGUAAGAAUAAAAAGUAAAAAUAAAAAUAAAAAUAAAAGUAAGAAUAAGAGUAAAAAUAAGAAUAAGAGUG